RNAcentral lists this ribosomal RNA (253 nucleotides) under uncultured bacterium. Its description in RNAcentral is "partial 16S ribosomal RNA". It matches the Rfam family "Archaeal small subunit ribosomal RNA", at positions 474 to 727 of the family's 1478-position model. The record is from RNAcentral.
UACCAGCACCCCGAGUGGUCGGGACGUUUAUUGGGCCUAAAGCAUCCGUAGCCGGUUCUACAAGCCUUCCGUUAAAUCCAACUGCUUAACAGGUGGGCUGCGGAAGGUACUAUAGAGCUAGGAGGCGGGAGAGGCAAGCGGUACUCGAUGGGUAGGGGUAAAAUCCGUUGAUCCAUUGAAGACCACCAGUGGCGAAGGCGGCUUGCCAGAACGCGCUCGACGGUGAGGGAUGAAAGCUGGGGGAGCAAACCGG